GUCAGAUAGCCUCAGUUGGUAGAGCAGAGACUGAAAUCU
Molecule: transfer RNA, 39 nt
Filed under: Elymus elymoides
Lineage: Eukaryota; Viridiplantae; Streptophyta; Magnoliopsida; Poales; Poaceae
Description: partial tRNA-Phe
Source: RNAcentral